UUAGGGCUUCGAAUGAUGGGAACUCGUACCUGGACAUGUGGAAGAACGCCGUCGAUCGCGACAAGAAGACUGUUGAGUUCCAAAGAAUCACUGAAAGAGUGUCCGGAACCGACAAUGGUAAUGAUGCUGAUAAUGAUGGUGGUUGGAACAUGAAUUUGGAGAAGAAAAGCGAAGAUUUUAAGAAGAUUUUGGAUGUUUCCAAGGAGGAGAGGGACCGCACUCAGCGAAUGCAGGUCAUUGAUCGGGCCGCGGCAGCGAUUGCGGCUGCUCGUGCCAUACUGAAGGAGAGGCAGUCUGGAAAUGAUAAGGCAAAUGACGACGGAGCUAGUAGCAAUUUAACCCGUGAAAGCGGAGGCGGAGCGGAAAAUAAUCAAGACGCUUUAAAUAAUGGAAGCGUUUUUCCCUCUCCAUCUGAGACUUCUGGAAAUGGAGUACCUGGGCCAGAUUUUUGGUCUUGGACACCUCCUCCUGGUAUUGAGAAGACUCAAUAUGACGCUGACUUGUUGGAAGCUAAAAGAUCUUUGAUAUCUCCUAUUUUGGCAAGCCCUGUGGCAAUGAAAGAGCGAUGUUUGGAUUUUCUCAAUAUUCCACUUGAGAGUAAACUCUCAGAGAGUAGCUCCAACCCUCCUAUUCCUCCUUUGCAAUCACUGAUGGAGGUUAAAAAAGAAGAGGUCUCCAUAUCUAGUCCUGAUAUGCCUUCUCUAAAAGAGGAAGAGCAAGAACUUAAUCUUUUAUUUCAUGCACAUGAACUGGAAGCGGCUUAUGUUCUUGAUGAAGUUGAUGAUGAAUUUUCUGGAGUAGAUCCAAAUGGAUCGAGGUGGUGGAAGGAGACAGGAAUUGAGCAAAGACCUGAUGGUGUUAUUUGCAGGUGGACUAUGACCAGGGGUGCUAGUGCUGACCAAGAUGUUGAGUGGCAAGAGAAGUUUUGGGAAGCUUCUGAUGAGUUUGGUUAUAAGGAACUUGGUUCAGAGAAAUCAGGAAGAGAUGCUACUGGAAAUGUAUGGCGUGAGUAUUGGAGAGAAUCAAUGUGGCAGGAAUCUGGGCUUAUGCAUAUGGAGAAAACUGCAGACAAGUGGGGGAAGAAUGGAAGAGGUGAUGAGUGGAAAGAGGAAUGGUGGGAACAUUAUGAUGCCUCCAACCAAGCUGAGAAAUGGGCACAUAAGUGGUGCACUGUUGACCCAACCACACGGCUUGAGGCUGGUCAUGCUCAUGUAUGGCAUGAAAGGUGGGGUGAGAAGUAUGAUGGACAUGGUGGCACCAUAAAAUACACUGACAAAUGGGCUGAGCGAUGUGAGGGUGAUUGCUGGACAAAGUGGGGUGAUAAAUGGGAUGAACAUUUUGAUCCAAAUGGUCGCGGUGUCAAGCAAGGGGAGACGUGGUGGGAAGGUAAGCAAGGAGAACGGUGGAAUCGCACUUGGGGUGAGCGCCAUAAUGGUUCUGGAUGGGUUCACAAGUAUGGAAAGAGCAGCAGUGGGGAGCACUGGGACACACACGUGGCGCAGGAGACAUGGUACGAGAGAUUCCCACAUUUCGGUUUCUAUCACUGCUUUGAUAACUCAAUCCAGCUCCGGGAAGUUCCAAAGCCGUCUGACCGUCAUGAAGUUCUGAAGCCAUCUGACCUACAUUAAGCAUAAAUUUUGUGUUUUCUUCUAUAUGUUUUAUCAUCCAUUACUUUUCUGCCUUCAUUAAUUUAUAAUUCCUUGCAGACUGAACUAGUAUUGCACAUAAGUCACAGAAACCCUUUUUCAUGAAUUGCAUCAUAUUUUCUUUUGUCAAAAUAGCACAAUCUAGUAUUGCAUUUUCUCAUUGAAAUCUUUUUGUCCUGUGUCCUCUAAAUUCCAAUAUAUUUAUUUGCAAAUUAAUUUCUGAAACAGAUUUCAUUUUGUCAUCUGCCCUAGUAAAUUAGAGUAGGCGGGCAUUGAGUUAUGCUUAUGGCUGAUCUAUAGUUGAAUCGAGUAUUUUGAAAGGUGUGGGAUGAUUUGUUAGGGCAUAGGUUUAUUUACCAAUGUCAGUGCAAAAAUUGCAUGCGGUCUGCUAGAGGUGAUGGGUUGUACUUGAUGAAUGUACCUGAAAAACAAUUUCAGAAAUACCAUAUUUGGAAA
Molecule: unclassified non-coding RNA, 2102 nt
Filed under: Hevea brasiliensis (rubber tree)
Lineage: Eukaryota; Viridiplantae; Streptophyta; Magnoliopsida; Malpighiales; Euphorbiaceae
Source: RNAcentral